This 500-nucleotide ribosomal RNA is filed under the name uncultured bacterium. RNAcentral describes it as "partial 16S ribosomal RNA". It matches the Rfam family "Bacterial small subunit ribosomal RNA", at positions 30 to 523 of the family's 1533-position model. The record is from RNAcentral.
AUUGAACGCUGGCGGCAUGCCUUACACAUGCAAGUCGAACGGUAACGGGUCCUUCGGGAUGCCGACGAGUGGCGAACGGGUGAGUAAUAUAUCGGAACGUGCCCAGUAGUGGGGGAUAACUGCUCGAAAGAGCAGCUAAUACCGCAUACGACCUGAGGGUGAAAGGGGGGGAUCGCAAGACCUCUCGCUAUUGGAGCGGCCGAUAUCAGAUUAGCUAGUUGGUGGGGUAAAGGCCUACCAAGGCAACGAUCUGUAGUUGGUCUGAGAGGACGACCAGCCACACUGGGACUGAGACACGGCCCAGACUCCUACGGGAGGCAGCAGUGGGGGACUUUGGACAAUGGGAGCAAGCCUGAUCCAGCAAUGCCGCGUGCAGGAAGAAGGCCUUCGGGUUGUAAACUGCUUUUGUCAGGGAAGAAAUCUUCUGGGCUAAUACCCCGGGAGGAUGACGGUACCUGAAGAAUAAGCACCGGCUAACUACGUGCCAGCCGCCGCGGUAA